UACGUAGGCAGCGAGCGUUGUUCGGAAUUACUGGGCGUAAAGAGUGUGUAGGCGGUGCUCUAAGUUCGGUGUGAAAUCUCCCGGCUUAACUGGGAGGGUGCGCCGGAAACUGGAGUGCUCGAGCUUGGGAGAGGAAAGCGGAAUUCCUGGUGUAGCGGUGAAAUGCGUAGAUAUCAGGAGGAACACCUGCGGUGUAGACGGCUUUCUGGACCAUUGCUGACGCUGAGACACGAAAGCGUGGGUAGCAAACAGG
RNAcentral lists this ribosomal RNA (253 nucleotides) under uncultured bacterium. RNAcentral's name for it is "partial 16S ribosomal RNA". It matches the Rfam family "Bacterial small subunit ribosomal RNA", at positions 524 to 776 of the family's 1533-position model. The record is from RNAcentral.